This 305-nucleotide ribosomal RNA is filed under the name uncultured bacterium. RNAcentral's name for it is "bacterial SSU rRNA". It matches the Rfam family "Bacterial small subunit ribosomal RNA", at positions 335 to 637 of the family's 1533-position model. The record is from RNAcentral.
AACCCUACGGGGCGCAGCAGUGAGGAAUAUUGGUCAAUGGGCUUACGCCUGAACCAGCCAAGUCGCGUGAGGGAAGACUGCCCUAUGGGUUGUAAACCUCUUUUGUCAGGGAGCAAUUGGCGCUACGUGUAGCGUUAUCGAGAGUACCUGAAGAAAAAGCAUCGGCUAACUCCGUGCCAGCAGCCGCGGUAAUACGGAGGAUGCGAGCGUUAUCCGGAUUUAUUGGGUUUAAAGGGUGCGUAGGCGGUUUGUCAAGUCAGCGGUAAAAAUUCCGGGCUCAACCCGGUCCCGCCGUUGAAACUGGC